GAUGAACGCUGGCGGCGUGCCUAAUACAUGCAAGUCGAGCGAACAGACGAGGAGCUUGCUCCUCUGACGUUAGCGGCGGACGGGUGAGUAACACGUGGAUAACCUACCUAUAAUACUGGGAUAACUUCGGGAAACCGGAGCUAAUACCGGAUAAUAUAUUGAACCGCAUGGUUCAAUAGUGAAAGACGGUUUUGCUGUCACUUAUAGAUGGAUCCGCGCCGCAUUAGCUAGUUGGUAAGGUAACGGCUUACCAAGGCGACGAUGCGUAGCCGACCUGAGAGGGUGAUCGGCCACACUGGAACUGAGACACGGUCCAGACGCCUACGGGAGGCAGCAGUAGGGAAUCUUCCGCAAUGGGCGAAAGCCUGACGGAGCAACGCCGCGUGAGUGAUGAAGGUCUUCGGAUCGUAAAACUCUGUUAUUAGGGAAGAACAAAUGUGUAAGUAACUAUGCACGUCUUGACGGUACCUAAUCAGAAAGCCACGGCUAACUACGUG
RNAcentral lists this ribosomal RNA (497 nucleotides) under uncultured bacterium. Its description in RNAcentral is "partial 16S ribosomal RNA". It matches the Rfam family "Bacterial small subunit ribosomal RNA", at positions 28 to 507 of the family's 1533-position model. The record is from RNAcentral.